UAGGGAAUCUUCGGCAAUGGACGAAAGUCUGACCGAGCAACGCCGCGUGAGUGAAGAAGGUUUUCGGAUCGUAAAACUCUGUUGUUAGAGAAGAACAAGGACGUUAGUAACUGAACGUCCCCUGACGGUAUCUAACCAGAAAGCCACGGCUAACUACGUGCCAGCAGCCGCGGUAAUACGUAGGUGGCAAGCGUUGUCCGGAUUUAUUGGGCGUAAAGCGAGCGCAGGCGGUUUCUUAAGUCUGAUGUGAAAGCCCCCGGCUCAACCGGGGAGGGUCAUUGGAAACUGGGGGACUUGAGUGCAGAAGAGGAGAGUGGAAUUCCAUGUGUAGAGGUGAAAUGCGUAGAUAUAUGGAGGAACACCAGUGGCGAAGGCGGCUCUCUGGUCUGUAACUGACGCUGAGGCUCGAAAGCGCGGGGAGCAAACAGG
RNAcentral lists this ribosomal RNA (429 nucleotides) under Chloroflexota bacterium. RNAcentral describes it as "Chloroflexi bacterium partial 16S ribosomal RNA". It matches the Rfam family "Bacterial small subunit ribosomal RNA", at positions 355 to 776 of the family's 1533-position model. The record is from RNAcentral. Lineage: Bacteria; Bacillati; Chloroflexota.